CAUGGUGACUGUUAACAAUACAACUUCUUCAGACUCUACACUCUUCAGAGUAGGAGCGAAGGCACCUCAGCGACCACACAAGGAGUCAUGAGGAAACCCUGGGGAGCUCUGCUGGGGCUUCUGUGGGUGCAGGUUUGCUGGGUGAGAGGGAUGGAGGUGGAGCAGAGACCUCCAGCCCUGAGCGUCCAGGAGGGAGCCAGCUCUACCCUGAGCUGCAACUUUUCCAGCGCAGUGGACAGUGUGCAGUGGUUCCGACAGAAUCCUGGGGACGGCGGCCUCACGCGGCUGUUUUACAUCGCGUCAGGAAAGAAGCAGGACGGGAGGUUAGCUUGCACACUGAACACGAAGGACCGGCACAGCAGCCUGCACAUCAGGGCCUCCAGGCAGGAAGACGCAGCCACCUACCUGUGUGCGGUGGAGGCACAGUGCUGCCUGCCGCCCUGCAGCCUGUCCCCAAACUGCAGCUGGGCUGGCAGCCCAAGCUCCUCAUGGGACAGGCAUUUAUUUGCCCCCACAUUUUCAUAUUUGUUACAUUUUGCACAUUUUCAUAUUUAUGUUACAGCGCUUUUUUCCUCCCUAAAAGUAGACCCAUCAGGACUGUCAUUUCACAUUUGCUUUUCUUACCCUUUUUCUUCCCAGAAAACCCUUUCCAGGUAAAAAGCUUUACCAUGGACCUAUUAGAGUAGUUGAUAGAGAUGCCAGGAUCCAAUGCUCUAUUAAAACAUAUCUCUGGGAAGCUAGCAUAUAAAUUAUAUGUAAAUUACUCAGAUGGAAAAGACUCAAAAACA
This is a non-coding RNA of Hyaena hyaena (striped hyena), 788 nucleotides long. Lineage: Eukaryota; Metazoa; Chordata; Mammalia; Carnivora; Hyaenidae. The record is from the annotation of a RefSeq genome assembly.